AUGCACGCUGGCGGCGUGCCUAAUCCAUGCAAGUCGAGCGAACAGACGAGGAGCUUGCUCCUCUGACGUUAGCGGCGGACGGGUGAGUAACACGUGGAUAACCUACCUAUAAGACUGGGAUAACUUCGGGAAACCGGAGCUAAUACCGGAUAAUAUAUUGAACCGCAUGGUUCAAUAGUGAAAGACGGUUUUGCUGUCACUUAUAGAUGGAUCCGCGCCGCAUUAGCUAGUUGGUAAGGUAACGGCUUACCAAGGCAACGAUGCGUAGCCGACCUGAGAGGGUGAUCGGCCACACUGGAACUGAGACACGGUCCAGACUCCUACGGGAGGCAGCAGUAGGGAAUCUUCCGCAAUGGGCGAAAGCCUGACGGAGCAACGCCGCGUGAGUGAUGAAGGUCUUCGGAUCGUAAAACUCUGUUAUUAGGGAAGAACAAAUGUGUAAGUAACUAUGCACGUCUUGACGGUACCUAAUCAGAAAGCCACGGCUAACUACGU
This 495-nucleotide ribosomal RNA is filed under the name uncultured bacterium. RNAcentral describes it as "partial 16S ribosomal RNA". It matches the Rfam family "Bacterial small subunit ribosomal RNA", at positions 29 to 506 of the family's 1533-position model. The record is from RNAcentral.